AAUAGAUACCCUGGUAGUCCACGCCGUAAACGAUGUCGACUUGGAGGUUGUUCCCUUGAGGAGUGGCUUCCGGAGCUAACGCGUUAAGUCGACCGCCUGGGGAGUACGGCCGCAAGGUUAAAACUCAAAUGAAUUGACGGGGGCCCGCACAAGCGGUGGAGCAUGUGGUUUAAUUCGAUGCAACGCGAAGAACCUUACCUACUCUUGACAUCCAGAGAACUUAGCAGAGAUGCUUUGGUGCCUUCGGGAACUCUGAGACAGGUGCUGCAUGGCUGUCGUCAGCUCGUGUUGUGAAAUGUUGGGUUAAGUCCCGCAACGAGCGCAACCCUUAUCCUUUGUUGCCAGCGGUUCGGCCGGGAACUCAAAGGAGACUGCCAGUGAUAAACUGGAGGAAGGUGGGGAUGACGUCAAGUCAUCAUGGCCCUUACGAGUAGGGCUACACACGUGCUACAAUGGCGUAUACAAAGAGAAGCGACCUCGCGAGAGCAAGCGGACCUCAUAAAGUACGUCGUAGUCCGGAUUGGAGUCUGCAACUCG
RNAcentral lists this ribosomal RNA (537 nucleotides) under uncultured bacterium. RNAcentral's name for it is "bacterial SSU rRNA". It matches the Rfam family "Bacterial small subunit ribosomal RNA", at positions 777 to 1314 of the family's 1533-position model. The record is from RNAcentral.